GACGAACGCUGGCGGCGUGCCUAAUACAUGCAAGUCGAGCGGACCUCUUCGGAGGUCAGCGGCGGACGGGUGAGUAACACGUGGGCAACCUGCCUGUAAGACUGGGAUAACUCCGGGAAACCGGAGCUAAUACCGGAUACUAUGUCAAACCGCAUGGUUUGACAUUCAAAGACGGUUUCGGCUGUCACUCACAGAUGGGCCCGCGGCGCAUUAGCUAGUUGGGGAGGUAACGGCUCACCAAGGCGACGAUGCGUAGCCGACCUGAGAGGGUGAUCGGCCACACUGGGACUGAGACACGGCCCAGACUCCUACGGGAGGCAGCAGUAGGGAAUCUUCCGCAAUGGACGAAAGUCUGACGGAGCAACGCCGCGUGAGUGAUGAAGGUUUUCGGAUCGUAAAACUCUGUUGUCAGGGAAGAACAAGUGCCGGAGUAACUGCCGGCGCCUUGACGGUACCUGACCAGAAAGCCACGGCUAACUACGUGCCAGCCGCCGCCGUAA
RNAcentral lists this ribosomal RNA (500 nucleotides) under uncultured bacterium. Its description in RNAcentral is "partial 16S ribosomal RNA". It matches the Rfam family "Bacterial small subunit ribosomal RNA", at positions 28 to 523 of the family's 1533-position model. The record is from RNAcentral.